RNAcentral lists this long non-coding RNA (1795 nucleotides) under Lupinus mutabilis. RNAcentral describes it as "partial ncRNA". The record is from RNAcentral. Lineage: Eukaryota; Viridiplantae; Streptophyta; Magnoliopsida; Fabales; Fabaceae.
CUAUGAUGUUUCUAUAUAUCGAUUUGAGAAAAAGAGAGAGAUAGUGACGAAAGCAAAAGAUAAAUGGCGCAACGAAUAUCUUGUUCCUCAUCAACAACCUCCUUCAACUUCAAAUCCAUUUCCUUUUCGAAAUUCCCUUUCUCACCAUUCUUAGCUUCAUUUCCAAACCCUAAUUCUAUUUCCAGCACCGUUCGAAUCACUCUCUGCAAUGCCUCAAACUCAAAACCACAGAACAAAUAUUCUUCACCUUCAUCAUCAACCACAAAAAAGAAGAAAAAGAAAUCCACAACCGUUUCCGACCCUUUAAAUUUCACUGAUUUUGAAAUCUUGCAAGAUUUUCCCGCCGGCGUUGAUGUCAGUGUCCACGAUGAUGAUGCUACGGAUAACAUUCCAGAAUCUUCUUUGGCUCACUCUUCUAGUUCUUUGCCGCUUCCUGAACCUCCCGCUGGAUUCGUUCUUGAUGGUAAUGGCAACGUUGUUCAAGCUUUAAUUGAUCGACUUGUCACUAUUGUGUGGUAACUUAGCGUAACCGCAACGACGAUUUCAGUUUAAAACUGUGCUGUCUAAAUGCAGAUCCAUUUUCUAUUUCAGCUGCUUAUUGUCACUCCAUUUUCAAGGGUUUUGGAAAUGAAGCCUCGAGCACCAUUAAUUUGCUUCUUAAUUUUGUUAAGUGCUUUAAUUUAUACUUGUCACCGUUGUUCUAUGAAGCAUGCAUAGUUCCAUGUAGUCAUCAUAUCCUUAGCGGACAUUUUGAACAUCUUGGAACACUUCUUAUUGUUCUUUACAAUUUACUUUUACUUUUAAAAUUUUCAUACCAUUAUAGAUGGAAAUGUCAUAUUAAGUGCAUUGCUUUUAAGCACUCUAUUAUAUUUAUAAUGACUCAAACUAACUGCCUAAUUUAAUAUUUGUUCUUAUAAGUUAAUUUUGCACUAAUUUUAUAUUUUUAUGCCAUUUCCUAUAAUUUUUAAAAGUUGUUCCAUUCCUUAGGUCAUAUCAUUUUGUAUCCAUUCUUCCUAGCUGUAGGUUGUAUCAUGCGGAAAAUAGGCAAAAAAACAGAAUAUCUUUCUCUGGGUUUGUAUCUCUAUUGUGUUGUCUCAUUGUAUUCCUCAUAUCUAUAAAUUCUGAACAAGUUCUUAACAGGUUGAUCCCACAAAUAACCUUCCAUUAGAAUGUGUGGUAAGGAGAGUGUUCAGAAGUUCCGAAGGACAUGACUGUAUGUUGCUCUGCCCAGUUGACACGCCUAUCCAAAUAUUAAAGAGCACAAAUGUGGAUGGAUGGUCAGCUGUCAGUGAUAAGGAAGUUGAAUCUAUUCUGCCUGCUGCAGCUUAUGCACUUGCCAAGAUACACAUGCAUCUUGUUUAUAGUGGAUACUGUUAUACAGCACGUGGUGGUUUUUGCUACACGGAAGAAGACAUAUUUGACUUUCACACAGAUGAGGGUAAAGGAGUGGAUGGCUUGCCAACUGAAGCUAUAGAAAUUACAUAUUUCGAUCUGGAAGGUGCACAAUACAUGAUUUAUACGCCAUCUGAUCCACAUAUUUUUGUUGCCGUGAAGGAUCAGAAUGGGAUGUUGCAAGUUGCUGAUGAUGAACUGCUUGAGGAUCCUGCUAUCUUUGAUGCCAUAGAUGAGGAAACUGAAUUUAAUGCCUUAGCGGUGUGUGGUUUGUUCUUCCAAAUUAACAUUUUUGUUGUUAUUAAGUUUGACCCUAUUCAAUUAUGUAUAUUGUGAUGUCUUACCCCAGGAAGAAGAAGCUGCAUUUCUUGAAUUGGUGGUAGAUGGGUGAAAAGAUAAGCAA